CUGUCUGAAUCCCUCUCCCAUCUGUUUCUUCUUAGUCUCUUAAACAAAUCUGUAAUUGUUCGCUGUGGUUGUCACCGAGCUCGCCGGCGUAGGUCAUCGCUUGCGACCCAUCUUGAGCCCCUUGGUUGUCGUCGUCACCGAGCUCUGCCUCCAAUCUCAUAUCUCUAUUACAUAUCUGAAGCACCAUCUCCCCUCGUGCCAUCCAGGUAAUUGAACUUGCCGAGAUCCCCAUCUCCCUCGCGCUGGCUAGGUCACCGAGCUAGCGCCAUCCAUCUCAUCUAGCUCGCCGAGCUCGCCAUCUCCCUCAUGGAUGAGAACCGUGAGAAGAUGCUUUAAAUCUUUUACGACGCUCAAUAUUUCUUCCUUGUGUAUUUUUGGAGUCUUCCUAGCACUGCUGGAAACCAGCUUAGGAAUGUGUAUAGCAUACUUGAAUCUGAUCUCCAAAGCAGUAAGAAGCGUCAUGCAGAACUUGUUGAACAGUGUAAUGCCCUGAAGAAGGGAUAAACUUUUAUAUGAAGGAGAACGCUUAAUUCAACUUUUGUUUGUUCUUUCUUGGUUUCAGUAAUAUCUCUGCCGGUUAAUUUAAUUGAUAAUACAAUUAUUAUUAAAUCACCUGCAGAGCAGAAGCACUUAAUAAUCACUUGACUGCUGUCCAGCGAGACCAUGAAGUCAGAUCUUAAAUAGAAGAAAGAAAAAUAAGAAUUGAUGCAGCUUAUGAAGAUGCUAAAAGAAAGGAAAAAUCUCUGCAAGACAAGAACGAGCUAAAGCAGAAGCUGCGGUCUUUUUGUUUGGCCUUUUUAUAUCAUUACUGUUUUGUUGGUAAGUUUCUAGAUAUGGUGUGCAUGUAAUGGCCUCAUUAUGUUACUGCUUUCGAUAUUCUUUGUUGAAGUGUCGAAAAGGUUUUUUUGCAUUUCAAGUAAAAGCUAUUCCAGUGAACUUUGGGUAACUUGGUUAAUAACCAGGGUUCCACCCCAAUUAUGUAAGGAGAAUGUUUGUUAUGA
Long non-coding RNA from Prunus persica (peach), 1001 nucleotides. RefSeq lists it as uncharacterized. The record is from RefSeq and is a predicted model, not a curated record. Lineage: Eukaryota; Viridiplantae; Streptophyta; Magnoliopsida; Rosales; Rosaceae. The transcript has 3 exons.